This 87-nucleotide transfer RNA is filed under the name Candidatus Glassbacteria bacterium GWA2_58_10. RNAcentral's name for it is "tRNA-Leu". It matches the Rfam family "tRNA". From Rfam's summary of the family: Transfer RNA (tRNA) molecules are approximately 80 nucleotides in length. Their secondary structure includes four short double-helical elements and three loops (D, anti-codon, and T loops). Further hydrogen bonds mediate the characteristic L-shaped molecular structure. tRNAs have two regions of fundamental functional importance: the anti-codon, which is responsible for specific mRNA codon recognition, and the 3' end, to which the tRNAs corresponding amino acid is attached (by aminoacyl-tRNA synthetases). tRNAs cope with the degeneracy of the genetic code in two manners: having more than one tRNA (with a specific anti-codon) for a particular amino acid; and 'wobble' base-pairing, i.e. permitting non-standard base-pairing at the 3rd anti-codon position. RNAcentral also lists the same sequence under 1 other name. The record is from RNAcentral. Lineage: Bacteria; Candidatus Glassiibacteriota.
GCCGAAGUGGUGAAAUUGGUAUACGCGCUGGUUUCAGGGACCAGUGGGAGCAAUCCCGUGGGGGUUCGAAUCCCCCCUUCGGCACCA